AUACGUAGGGUGCAAGCGUUAAUCGGAAUUACUGGGCGUAAAGCGUGCGCAGGCGGUUUUGUAAGACAGUGGUGAAAUCCCCGGGCUCAACCUGGGAACUGCCAUUGUGACUGCAAGGCUGGAGUGCGGCAGAGGGGGAUGGAAUUCCGCGUGUAGCAGUGAAAUGCGUAGAUAUGCGGAGGAACACCGAUGGCGAAGGCAGUCCCCUGGGCCUGUACUGACGCUCAUGCACGAAAGCGUGGGGAGCAGACAGGAUUAGAUACCCUGGUAGUCCACGCCCUAAACGAUGUCAACUGGUUGUUGGGUCUUCAUUGACUCAGUAACGAAGCUAACGCGUGAAGUUGACCGCCUGGGGAGUACGGCCGCAAGGUUGAAACUCAAAUGAAUUGACGGGG
This 395-nucleotide ribosomal RNA is filed under the name uncultured bacterium. RNAcentral's name for it is "partial 16S ribosomal RNA". It matches the Rfam family "Bacterial small subunit ribosomal RNA", at positions 523 to 918 of the family's 1533-position model. The record is from RNAcentral.